RNAcentral lists this unclassified non-coding RNA (303 nucleotides) under uncultured Leucosporidiales. RNAcentral describes it as "sequence contains ITS2". The stretch from base 1 to 52 matches the Rfam family "5.8S ribosomal RNA", at positions 103 to 154 of the family's 154-position model. The record is from RNAcentral. Lineage: Eukaryota; Fungi; Basidiomycota; Microbotryomycetes; Leucosporidiales.
AACGCACCUUGCGCUCCCUGGUAUUCCGGGGAGCAUGCCUGUUUGAGUGUCAUGAACUCUUCAACCCACCAGUUUCUUGUAGACUGAUUGGUGUUUGGAUUUUGAAUGUUGCUGAUCCCUCGGGAUGUAGCUCGUUCGUAAUAUAUUAGCAUCUCUAAUUCGAAAUCGGAUUGACUCAGUGUAAUAGACUAUUCGCUGAGGACACCUUUGGGUGGCCGAAAUAGAAACCAGUAGAAGCUUCCAACUUUUAUAGUCAAUUUUAGAUUAGACCUCAGAUCAGGCAGGAUUACCCGCUGAACUUAA